This is a non-coding RNA of Cinara cedri, 8474 nucleotides long. Lineage: Eukaryota; Metazoa; Arthropoda; Insecta; Hemiptera; Aphididae. The record is from the annotation of a GenBank genome assembly.
AGGAACCAAUAUUUAGUAGGUAUGAAUAAAUAUAUAAAUAUAAUAUAAUAUAAAUAUACAUAAAAAUAAAUUUAGAUUUACCUUAUCNUACUUAUGAAAUGUUGAAAAUUUUCAUAAAUAAUGAAAAAUGUAUCAAAUUCAAACUUAAGUUCAAUUCGGUAAAGGUGAAAUUCAUCCGAUUCACCUAAAAAAUUUUGUAGCUAAUUUUUGUACACAUACACACCCAUAUAGAAGGUGCACAAAACAUAUAUUUUUUUUUUUCAUCACCAGAGUUAUAUUCAAGACAUAAUCAGACUAGUAAACAGAAUAGUGAUUUUAAGGUAAUAAUAUUUGUAAAAUUUCAGCAGUAACAUAUUAUAAAACCUAACUAUUUUGAUGCUUUAUUUAUUAUUUUAGAGAUGAUUCCUAGAUCUGUUAAUCUUAAUAAAUCUAAUAAAUUAUGUAUUUUAUUUAUUUUACUGGCAGUUCCAUACCGAACGCUUGUGUAAUCUUCUUUCAUUUUCUUCAAACUCUAGUUUGUAAUACUUUUGUCUUUUCCUAGAAUGGUUUAAUUUAUUAAAUAAAAGUAUGCAUUAAUUGGUAAGUUAGAACAAUUAUUAAAUUACUGGGUCUGUGCAAGAAUUUAUUCCUGAAAGUUUUAUAAUAGAAUCCAUUUCUUGUGCCUUUUCUGAUUCAAAUAAGCGCAGACAUUUACUGAUAAUUAGUUUCUUAAAUAUUGUCUUAUUCCUAUCUUUUCCAGAACUUACUUGCACAGAUUUCAUAGCCGAGCAAAGAGCCACAUAAUGAGGUGAAAACAUUGUUCUUUAAUUGCCUAUAAUGUAAGAUAAAAAAUCAACAAAAUAAACAACAAGUUAAUGAGUAAUAAUUUAGAGAUAUUUUAUUCAUUGCUUAUAAAUCACCUUUUCAAAAAUUAAAUCAACUAUUUUCUUUAGUAGUUCAACAAUAUCAAUUGGUUAAUGCACUAAAAUGUUCAGCUAAAGUAAUAAUGUUAUCACUUGUAAUUUUAUUUAAAAUUGAUGCGACAUUUGUACAGAAUUCCUGAAAUUAAUAUAACAAAAACUGACAUUAAUAGCAUAUAUAAUUUAUAAUAGGGUAUGUAUAGGUUAUGAUAUUAGAUAAAUACCAAUUACUUGUAUAGUUAAGUAGUUUAACACAUGAAUAAUAAAACCUGUACAUUUUUCAAUACCUUUAAAAUUUUAUAUGAUUAUUUUAAUUUUAUUCAACAAGUCAAAACCCUACAUAAUGCUAUAUAGAAUUUAAUUUUAAUAAUCUGAUUAUUAGCACACAGAAGUUAAUAAAACUAAGGUGUGAUACAAAUAGAUAAUGAAUAAACUAAACCAAUAAAUCAUUUAUAUUUCUUCAUUAGUUUUUAAUUCCUCUGAUAUUUUAUUUUUAUGCACAUAAACUUAGGUAGUUUUUUUGCUACUUUUGGUACUUUUGAUCUGAUGAUUUUGUAAUAUCAGCUUUUCAAUUCCUUGAGUUCCUUUUAACAAAUAAGAUCAUUUCUGAGUUGAGUAAAAUAAAUUCUCUCAUCAGUUUGAUUUAUAACACUCGAUUGGCUUAGAAGUAAAACAUUUUAUAUGAAUACCUUAAUUAUGAUUAAAUUAAUAUGGUUAAUCAGAAAAUUUAAAUUAUAACAAUUAAAAGAUAAAAAUAGAAAGAUAAGAUAAUGGAAACGGGUACAGCCACUAGUGUAGAUGGAAAGUUGGGAAGGUAAGAUACAAACAGGAAUUUAAUGUAUAUCUAUAAGCAACAAUUCACUUUAUUACACCACGUUUUAUUGCUUCCAAAAAAAACGAUUCUGAGCGGAGUUAAGUUAAUAGUAAUGCAUUGUCAACAAUAUAUAUGUCAUUUUAUAGUAAAAUAAUUAAAUAGGCUUUAUAUAUUUUCUUAAGUAAAAUGUAUUAAAUGUUGUACCAAUUUUCCCAGUUUUCUUAUGAUUUUCCUAUUUUAAAUUUGUUUAAACUAUUUUAACAUUAACUCCAACAAUAUCAAUUUUUAUUAUUUUAUAUUACAGAAUAUUGUAAUAAUAUUUUAGUUAUAUACUUAACAAGUAACAUUAUUAUUUAUAAAAUCAUUGUAAACUAAAUUAAAAUUAUAAAAUAGAGUAAUUUUAUAACUCAUUUUCUCUGCCACAAACUACGAUUAAUGUACUAAUCAUUUAAUACAUUUGUGAGUUUACAUUUUACAUAGUUUUUGGGUUUUCUUAAUUAUUAUGAAAACUGAUUGGAAAAUUAAAAAAUGCACCAACAAAAUACGAAAUUCAAAAAAAGGAUCUUGUCAUUUUUCAAUUGGAGCAAGAUUUCUGGUCAAAAAGUAAUACACCAUAAUAAAACCGAUAGAUUCCUCGCUACGCUUCAAAUCCGAAACAACAAAUAUUAUAAUCUCAAUGAAUUCUUGAACAGAUUGACUAGCGUAUGUCAGCUGUCGGGUCCAAAUAUUUAAAUAUUUAAGUGUACUUCAAUAAAAUACAUACCAUCUCGAGUAAAAUGUGUGGGUAUAAAAAAAAGAAUUCAUAUUUCAUUUGUACCUUUUUUUUUUUUUUUGGACUCUCCAUCAUACACGUUAAUAUUCAAUUUCAAAAUUUAUUUUAUUAAAAUAAUUAUAUUUUGAUGGUGAGCUUGAAAACAGGAUAGAUAGCAAAGCUAAGCAAGUUUCUCAAAUACGCUAACUCAUUAAACUAACGUUCUCUUCUUCUCCUUCACCUUCAUCUCAAAUAUUUAUUAAACAGUUAGUUAUUUAUUAUAAAUAAAAAUAUAAAAGCAAUUUAAAAAUGUAUUUACAUUUUAUUUUGAUAAUUUUAUAAGGUUACUUCCCUACUGAAAAUUAGAAAAUAACUACAUACUUUUAGAUUCUGAGCAGAGUGAAGACCAUAUUGGUUUUAUACAUGUAUAUUUUCUUUUAAAUUUUUUUUUUUCUGCGACUAUCAGCAACUAUUAGAAAUCUUGUUCCAAUCAAAAAAUUAAAAGAAAUUUCUUUUUGUUUUAUUUUGAUCCAAAAUUAGUUAAAUGUAGUUAGUACAUAGAGGAGGUAUUUUUUAAUUUUCUAAACAGUUUUCAUUACAAUUGGGAAAAAAUGUAGAAAAUAUGGGAAAAGCUUACAGCAUUAUUGGUUUUGAUAUUUUCAAAUUNCUAUCUUAGGGGGUGCAUUCAUAAAAGUUCAACCAUGAUCCAUUUAAGAGCUGCCAUAAUAUACAUUAAAACCACCUUCUUAUAACGGACACUCUAUAAGGUAGAAAAACCAUGAUUUAUAACAAUUGUUUUAUAAAAAAGUAGUUAUUAUCACCUGUUGUACUUUGAAGAUUCAGUUGAAAGAGUAGUAACCCCAGAUGAUGCAGUUAAUAUAUCAUGUUGAAUCGAUAGAUUUCUAUUACAAAGAUAUAAUAUAGGAGCAUAAUAAUUAUAAAUUAUUACUUCUUUUUCUACUUCGCCUUUAUUCCAACUAUUUAGGGUCUGUCACCAUUGUCCAAUAUUUCCACUUGACUCGAUCCCACAUGUCAUCCUUGCAUACACAUGCCAUUCACACAUCAUUCCAACUACAUCGUUUUUGGUCUUUCUCUCCUCUCCUUUCCAUCAACUUUUAUUUUCAUCAUAAUUCUUACAGCUUCCGUUUCCUCUCUUCUCAUGACAUACCAAGACUAUUUGAGUUUAUUUUCUCUCAUUUUGUCUACUAUAGAAGCCACACCUAAGCUACCUCUUAUGUACUUAUUCCUUAAUCUAUCUUCUUUCGUCACUCCAUUUAUCAAUUUAUGCAUUCUUAUUUCUGCUACACUAAUUUUCUGUUCUAUUUUCCCAUCUACUACCCAACACUCUAAACCAUACAACAUAGCUGGUAUUACCACACUCUUGUAUAACUUACCUUUAAAUCUCAUUGAAAUCAUACUUAAUUCUAUGUUUCACAUCUUCAUCAAAGCCACCAUUCUUUUUUAAAAAAAGAUCUUAAUACUUAAAACUCUUAAUCUUACCUAUCACUACUUAUUGUCAUUAGCUGUCUUGUCCUGUUCCUUCAAAAUCAAACUAUAUAAACUCUGUUUUACAUAAAUUUAUCCUUAAUCCCUUUCCUUUAAGUGUUACUCUCCAUUCCUAAAGUUUAUUAUUAACUUCUUCCAAAUUUUCUCUUAUCAAAACUAUAAAAUCUGUAAAUAUUAUGCACCAUGAUACCUCACAUCGCCUUGUAUUUCCUUUAUAACUUCGUCCAUUACAACAGAAAUAAUAAAUUAUAAAUUGUUAUAAAAAUAAAAUAGGUAAUACAUUUCUUUAAUUAUUACCUGUACUUCACUGAAUCAGGAAUGUUCGGUUUUGUCCUUAGAAUAUUCUGUUCUUCUACUCCAGCGUGUAUCAUCUUAAAAGGAGUCUUUUGUUGAUACUAAAAAGUUGAUACUUUCCGAGAUAAUGAAUGCACCGACUUAAACAGAACACCCUGACUUAAUGACUUAGGGUCAUUUACUAACAAUAAGAAAAAAAAAUUAAAAUUGUACAAAUUCAAAUAUUAAAUAUAACCGAAGAUCUUAAUGAACGCGAUUACGACGGUUUUUUAAUUUUGAUAUCAUCCGCUUAGAGAAGUGCAGCGUGAUUUUGGAUACGGGGCCUUUUCUGCGUAUGACAUUCAUUAGUUUGUUUUUGGUUACCGUCACCAAUAGUUCCACGGUUUCGGUGUCCAUGAACGGAGUAGGAGUUGUGAUCGCGUACAAUGCUUCGGUGUUAUGAAAUCCGACAUUCCGGGCCGUCAUUACUUUUUCCGACCGAGAACGUUGCAUUCGCGACUGAGAGACUCUCUUCGGUCUGUUUUUUCGUUUAAUCGUGCGUCUGGCAACGUUCAUGAAUGACGUCUGUUGUUGGUUUCUUUCACUGAUGUCGUGCCGUUCCGCUCGUGGCGAGAGAGACCUCUCCGAGUCAGCAUCCUCAGUAUUCAAUGUAUUUCUAUUAGGGAUUUCCAUGAUGUGCGCAGUUUCGUUUAAUUAAACUUGAUUUGCGAUUAAUUAAAAAGUACGGAAGUUCGUAUACUUAGAAAAAAUUUUCGAAAUUAUGUAGACGUCUGCACACACCGGGAUCUAAACGCACAAUGACUAAUAGUCAAUACACACAAGAACGGCUCGAAUAGAUAUUGUUUAUUUUUCAUCUGUUUUAAAUACCACGGUGAUACAACAAACCGUGUCGUACCGUAGUGAACCGCGCUUUCCUUAUUUUAAUAUUGUGCCACUUAUAAAUUAUGAAAUUAUUACCAUAGAUCGAUCGAUAAUACACGCGCAUUUCGCAUUACCACCGACUCAAGCAGCCCUCCCGUAGCCGUAACCCGAAANUACGAAAAUAUUAUAUAUUAGGAGACAGACAAUUGAGACAAUUUUAAUUUGGUCGCAUGAGUGUUAUUGCUAUAAUUUUUUGAUACAUAAAAUUAUAAUUAUUAUACAAUACUCACUAGUGUUUGAUCAUUUACGUAUUGAAUUCUUGUUUCUUUUCAUCUUCGACUUUUAGAAAAAGGUAGCAGAUCCUAAACAGGUAUCCUUGAUAUUAUGUGACACACUUAGAAAAAAAAUAUUAGCAAAUCACUAUUUACUUAAAACUAAUUUUGAUUGGCAUGAACUAUUGUUCAUCAUGGUGUUCUCGGUUAUAUAAAUUACCAAUAAACUAGUGAGCAGUGUGAACUAUUGCUUAUUGGUUUGGCCGGUGUAAACCAACAAUUUUUUAUGAACCCACAUUACACAUAGCCCCUAACACCGUAUAAAAUUUGUCCGUAGGUACGACGAAAAGUGGGAUGCUAGACGGGUUCUUUGAAGUGACCAGACCACGGGUGUAGUAGGUACAACGUCACGACGGGAAAUGGAAAACUCCUACAAAAGUUAGCAAUCUUCUACAUUUACAUAGUGUUAACUUCUACAAAAAAUAGAUUUUUUUAAUUUAGUAAAAUUAGUAAAUAGUCGGGAAUAAUAAAUUUAUUCAAUUUGUUCUGCAAUUAUUGGUAUGGAUGCUAUAAGCCUUUUAUUUCUGAGUGGCGGAAAAAAGAGGAAAAUAUUGUUAUAUUUGCAUAUAUUCCAUGUACGUAUCGNCACGACGGGAAAUGGAAAACUCCUACAAAAGUUAGCAAUCUUCUACAUUUACAUAGUGUUAACUUCUACAAAAGAUAGAUUUUUUUAAUUUAGUAAAAUUAGUAAAUAGUCAGGAAUAAUAAAUUUAUUCAAGUUCUGCAAUUAUUGGUAUGGAUGCUAUAAGCCUUUUAUUUCUGAGUGGCGGAAAAAAGAGGAAGAUAUUGUUAUAUUUCCAUAUAUUCCAUGUACGUAUCGAAAUGUUCGAGAAUUUCCGAUACGAUGCGAUACGAUAAGAUUAUAUUAAUAUGUUUACUAAAUUGUACUUUUGUUAUUAUUUUAAAUGAUGAUUUUAAUAUAUUAUCUUUAAAAUAAUGAAAACAUAUAAUAUAUACAAACUAAAAGGACCUACCGUAGUAGGUAUGUAAGAAAUGUUGCAAUAUGAAAUAAGCCAUUACCUAACCCAAACAUAAAAAUAUAGAAAGGUCUGGGUAGGAGAUUACACCAUCUAUUUUGGGCAGGUUAAAAGGGACUAUGUAGGAGUUUACACUAUGUUUUAAGUUCAGAUAAAAAUAUAAUUUUUGUACGAAUUUACAUGUAUUAUAUACAAAUUAAGCGUACAACGGGUUUGCAAGCAACGCACUUUAAUGCGGCUGUGUAGUUACACAACCGAUUUUGAUAAGAUUAUGCUCAUGUGUGUGAUUUGGUCCAACUUAAAUAUAGGAUAGUUUUCAUCCCGAUUAAGUAACCCAUUGUUUCUUAAAAUACGGUUUUAAAGUAUUUUUAGUACAAAAAUCGAAUUAUUUUUGUUAAUUUAUGAUACGUUUUCUUGGUAACAAAGAUGAAGAAAAUAAACUGUAAUAAUAUGUAUAUAAAGACGGACAUACUUUUCCCGUAGGUGAGAAGUUGGGAAGGUACAGGGGAAAUUUAUUAUGUAUCUUGUACCCAAAUAUUGACCAUUACUAAAGUACUCAAAUAGUACAGUAAAAAAUACUAUUUCAUUAAAUUUAGGGGCUUCAAUAUAUUUUCAUAUCUUAUUUAUUUAUAAAAAUCAGACACGCAGAAACGCAUGACCAGUACAGUUAGUAGUAUAUAUAGUUAAUACUUAAUAAGUAUAUCAAAUAAAUUGACGCAGUUUAUAUAAUCUUAAAUUUUCUUUUGCCACAGUUUACAUAUCGACUUUAAAAAAAAGAAAUAUUUUACCGCAGUUUACACAUAGCCUAACCACGUAUAAACUGUCCCCAUUUAUCCGCAGUCUUUACAUUUUGUCCACCAUUAUUUUAUAUAUUCAUUUUACUCGAAUCAGAAUAAAAUGAAUUACUAAAAUACCAAUAAUUAAAUAGCCAUAUUUAUUAAUAGUAGUUAACCACUAUAAACAUUUGAAAUCGAAAUGAAUCAACAAGAAUCAAAUAACUCGUUACUACUUAUAACAACGUCAAUAGUGUAUAUUAAAAAUACAAAAACAUAAUAUAAUUAUAAUUUGUAAUAUAACACAGAUUAAUGGAUUCAAAAUUGAUGAAUAUUCUCAAUAUUAAUAACGAUGAGACACCGAUCGCCGAUGAGAUUAAGGUUCAAAAACAACGGGAAAAAAAGAAAAAUUCAACGCGCCCCACGUGUUCUUCACGUAUAUAUUAUAUUUAAAAUAAAUUACUUUAUGUACCUUUCCAUUUACCACCUAUUUAUUAUUGUAUUUAAUAUGUUGGCUUAAAAAUAAAAUAUGAUAUUCAAAUACCAUGUGUUAUGUAUUAUAAAUAUUUGAUACUUAGUUCUAUACUUAUAUCAUAAAUACGGUACAAAAUGUUGUCCUACUCAUAACAUAAACUGAGGACCUAGCAGUGUUAAGUCACACAAACAUUUUUAUUUCGGUACGUGUUAGAUUAGAAUAUUUAAUAAUUUGGUUACCAUCCAACUAGAGCUGGCAGUAUUUUCAGUAUACCGGUGAAUCACUGGUAUUUUCAAAUAUUUUCAAAUACCAGUAUACUACUGUUUCAGUAACCACCAUUUGAUCUACUGCAGAAUAUUUUCAAUUAUUUUUUGUACUAUGGUAACCUGAUAACCACACACAUGGUUUAUAUAAUUUAUAGUAUUUACUAAUUUUACAGUAUUUACUGAAAAAUAAUGAUAAAUCAAAAAAUAAAACUGGUAUGUCAACACAAACCAAAUACCGGUGAACUAACAUACCACAAACUCUACAAACAACACAAAGCACACAUGUAGAAAAUUAUUCAUUAUUUAAAUAAUAAUGCUUGUUAUGAUUCACAUAACUGUUUAGUUGAGAGUCUAUCUUUUUAGUGUGGUUGCUGUUGAUCCAUACAGGUGCGCAAUACUCCGCAACUGAAUACACUAAUGCAAUUGAAGAUGUUUUUAGUGUAAAUGAAUCAGUACCCUAAUCUAUGCCUGCUAGUUUUUAGAUUAUAUUAUUUCUUGCGCAAAUCUUAGCCAUNAUAAUACUUAU